This is a long non-coding RNA of Pezoporus occidentalis (night parrot), 464 nucleotides long. RefSeq lists it as uncharacterized. NCBI's taxonomy places the organism in Eukaryota, Metazoa, Chordata, Aves, Psittaciformes, Psittacidae. The transcript is spliced from 2 exons. The record is from RefSeq and is a predicted model, not a curated record.
AUUUGCUCCUCUUACAGAAAAACUACCGGCCUUUGUCUUUCUAGUGUAAUGGAAACCAAGUAUAUGUUAUUUAUUUCCAGAGUUGGAAGCCCAAUAAUACAAAACUCGAAGUGGAGUCAAGGGUACUUCAGCUGUAAAUGUAAAUCAGCCUCUGCCUUCCUGUACAACUUACCACACCUUUUUUCUCAUGUUUUAGGUACAUUGCUCCAGCUUCCUCUCAGUUCUGCACCAGAAGGCUGGGGUACAGCGCAUAUGCAAAUGGUGUCAGCUCAUCUGCUGCUUGGCAGACGGUGAGUUAAGAUUGCUAUUCAUCGCCCAGCGAAGGCACCGUCUGCUUUCCCCCUCGCUGACCUUUCUGCUGAAACAGAUGCAGCGGCUCCGUGAAUUUGGAUGUGGCUCUGCACAUACCGAGGCACUCCGGCAGCUCUCAGCAGCCCUUUGUAAUACCGCUUUAUUUUAUUUUU